UUUUGGACAAUGGGCGCAAGCCUGAUCCAGCCAUUCCGCGUGAGUGAAGAAGGCCUUCGGGUUGUAAAGCUCUUUCGCAUGGGAAGAAAACUUACUUUCUAAUAAAGAGUGAGGUUGACGGUACCUUGAUAAGAAGCACCGGCUAACCACGUGCCAGCAGCCGCGGUAAUACGUAGGGUGCGAGCGUUAAUCGGAAUUACUGGGCGUAAAGCGUGCGCAGGCGGCUUUGUAAGUCAGAUGUGAAAUCCCCGAGCUCAACUUGGGAACUGCGUUUGAAACUACAAGGCUAGAAUAUGUCAGAGGGAGGUAGAAUUCCACGUGUAGCAGUGAAAUGCGUAGAGAUGUGGAGGAAUACCAAUGGCGAAGGCGAGCCCCCUGGGAGUAAUAUUGACGCUCAUGCACGAGG
This 406-nucleotide ribosomal RNA is filed under the name uncultured bacterium. Its description in RNAcentral is "bacterial SSU rRNA". It matches the Rfam family "Bacterial small subunit ribosomal RNA", at positions 362 to 758 of the family's 1533-position model. The record is from RNAcentral.